Molecule: long non-coding RNA, 2280 nt
Filed under: Gallus gallus (chicken)
Lineage: Eukaryota; Metazoa; Chordata; Aves; Galliformes; Phasianidae
Description: long non-coding RNA NONGGAT006598
Source: RNAcentral
GGCAGUAAGGAAGCUCGUCCCAGAUCCCAGUUUGGUAUUUUAUCUCCUUUGUGGUGUUUUAACUGUGAGAAUUUCCUGCUCCAACCCCAUGCGUGGUCCCGCGGUACCCCCUGGAAAGGAGGGCCUUUAAUUAAAGUACAACUCCCUGUUUGCCCCGCUGGGUUUGUAACAGCUGUGGUAAUAAGAGAUCUGGGACUGAAGGGAAAUCUUAGAGCUCGAAGUCGCCUCCAACAAAAACCGAGCAAAUAACUUUAAUAAGGCUGAAUUCUCUCUUCUGUUUAAGGUGUUUUUUUCCCCACUUCCUCCAAGGAACAACACACUGCAAAAGGAUAAAGGCUGAUCCAGUAUAGCAACCUUUCUGAGACCUGCCUUAAGGCUAAGAUGAACAUUCAGGAGCUCAGUGGAGAGCAAAGCAGUGAUUCUCAGCCUGCACACCAGUCUUUGCAGAAAUGGAAGCCUGCUCAUGUAUGAGCUGCAGCAUCCUCAGGGCCUGUCCUUAGUGCUGCUGGAGGAGUGAGCAGAAGGAAAUGACAUCUGUGCCAGAUGGAGAAACCUGAACGUGGAGGCUUCAGAACUUCCCCCCAGAGGACAAGGAAUUAAAGGAACUUCGUCUUGUGAACCAAAGUCACGUGUCGGCUGUUAUCAGCUACUUCUUGCCUUCUUGCACAGCCAUAUCUGUCAAUACCACAUGGAAGCACACAGCCCGUAGUGUUGAGGAGCUUUGCCUGCAAAAUUCCUGCUUUUGUUUUGAGACUGCUCCUAUGAGAUACUCCCUUCAAUGGCACCUUAAUGGUUACACAGGGCACUGAGGAAGGCUCAAACCUUCAUAACUACAGUACAGCUCCCUCCAUCCAGGUACACUGGGCGUUUGGCAUUCAUACGAAGUUUCUUUGGCAGGCACUGCUUACCAUUUCCUCAUAUUAACAUCUAUCACAAAGAAAUCUCAUCUUCGGGCUCCAGCAGCCUAAUGGCUUCCUUCAGCAUCUGAAUACAUCAACAGCUGUGGCUUCAGCCAUUUUGUCUGACCAAACUGAGAGCGGCCCAAAACCUGCUUCUGCACCAGGAGGGGAUAAAGGAGCCUCUUCUUCUGCAGAGAAGGCUUCCCACAAAACAUACAGAAUUGCAAACAUAAUUCUUCCUUCUCUCCACAGUCCUGAUCGCAGCAAUCUGAAGGCAGAAUGUUUACUCAAAAGGGAGUAUGUCUUUAAACAUCACAAGGCGUGCUUACAGCACUGUGCUGCACAGACAUUGUGUAUCAGAGUACGUGUCUGUGCCACAGAUGAGGCGAUGAUGUCAGCUGAAAAUGCCCUUGUGCCCAGCUGGCAGCAGUGCUGGUGUGCAGCCCUGCUGUGCUGUCACUGUGCUGCUGAGAGCUGCUGCUGCUGGGAAGGGCCAUUCUGUGACACUGCACUUCUGUCUCCUGCUUUCAUGCUAUUUCAGUGCUCUCUGUCUUUGCUCAUGCUGUUCAGCGUGCAGACCUAGCAGAAAGCCUUGAAGGCAGUAAAUUGUCAGAGCAGUCUGGACUUGCAAUGAGCUAUUUUAUGACCAAGUACAGAAAUUCUUCACUUCUUAUUUCAUUCAAAAGUUGUGUGAUUUGAGCAUGAUUGUCCUGGGCUUUUUGUUUCUUUCUUUGUUUUUUUUCCCCCCUCUUUUAAUGCAAGUGAGGAAAAGCCUCACCCUGCAGGCAUGAAAACAGCAUUCUCCAUAGUGAGGACUCUUAGGAGCCUUUUGGAGAAAGGGGUCUGGAGUUAUCUGUGUGUUUACAUCUUCUGCAUUGAUUUCUCUAAGCUGACAGUGCAGUGGGCAGUGCAUCAAUAUGCAGUCUGUGGUGAGAGAGACCAAGGCAUUGCAGGGCAUGCACACUUGUCUGUUGCCUCAUGCCAGAGCUCAGUGCCAUGCCUCUUCUCAGCAUCAAACAUAGGAUCAUCACUGACAUCAGUGACAGCGCAGCCUUUUUGUGAGCGCUGUGCAGCCUCUGCAGUUUAUAAAUAGCAUUCCCAAGGGACAGCUGCAGAAUGACCCAGAUUGACCAAAAUACACCGUGUUUAGAAAAUUCCAUGCUAAAACAGCCCUUCCCCUGACGGGUACACAUCCUUGACUCUAUUUCUGCUCCAACGCUCAUCGGCAUUUCAGCCAGGAGGAAAAGCAGCUCCUCUUGGGCUGUCACGACAGUGAGGUGACAGAGGCAAAGAAAAGAAGUUUGGCUUUCUGUGUUGUCAAGUAAAAGGUUCUCCAGUUUGCAUUUCAGUCGGGACCGUGGACUGAGAUUUUGUCUCCUUU